This is a long non-coding RNA of Myotis davidii, 173 nucleotides long. RefSeq lists it as uncharacterized. The record is from RefSeq and is a predicted model, not a curated record. NCBI's taxonomy places the organism in Eukaryota, Metazoa, Chordata, Mammalia, Chiroptera, Vespertilionidae. The transcript is spliced from 3 exons.
GGCUCCUCUGGGGAAAAGCGUGCAGGUGCCGGCUGGAGGCAGCCGGAGGUGACCCCACAGGCCUGGUGAGGUCUGCUGGGGUCGCCCCUUCCCCAGCCCGCCAUGCUGGGCUGCCUCGGGGUGGGGUGGGAGGGUCCUCCCUUCUGGGAGGCAAGGAGGCCUCCCUGCCGCCU